This 420-nucleotide long non-coding RNA is filed under the name Mytilus galloprovincialis (Mediterranean mussel). Lineage: Eukaryota; Metazoa; Mollusca; Bivalvia; Mytilida; Mytilidae. The record is from RNAcentral.
AAGAAAUAAAGGAAUAUGAUCUAAAUUAUCAUAGAAUACAGAUAUGAAAGACCCCAUUCAGACCCUAGUAAAUGCUGUAAGAUGUGUCGAUUAUUUCACAUUUACGGAAAAAAAUAAAUCCAUAUAUUGUAUAGUACGUUUUGCAGUACGUUUUGCAGCAAAGUUUCAGAGAGUCACACCGAGCGAACAUUUGAAUUGAAGUAGAUAUUGUUCUUCCCGAUUCAAAACAGAACUGCUUGAAGAUAUAAUUAAUGAUAUUAAAAAAUGGCAAGGUGCUUUUUAUAUGUCGGACCGAUGAUAUUUUUUUUCUAUUUGAAUAAAUAAGGAAAUAUCCACAGCUUUACUCCAGAACCAUGGAAAAAAAAUUUAAGAUCUUGCUUGCAUAACAAAACACGGCUUUAAAAUGUUCAUAACUUUCCU